CCUACGGGAGGCAGCAGUGGGGAAUAUUGCACAAUGGGGGAAACCCUGAUGCAGCGACGCCGCGUGAGUGAAGAAGUAUUUCGGUACGUAAAGCUCUAUCAGCAGGGAAGAAAAUGACGGUACCUGACUAAGAAGCCCCGGCUAACUACGUGCAGGCAGCCGCGGUAAUACGUAGGGGGCAAGCGUAAUCCGGAUUUACUGGGUGUAAAGGGAGCGUAGACGGCAGCGCAAGUCUGGAGUGAAAUCCCAUGGCUUAACCAUGGAACUGCUUUGGAAACUGUGCAGCUAGAGUGCAGGAGAGGUAAGCGGAAUUCCUAGUGUAGCGGUGAAAUGCGUAGAUAUUAGGAGGAACACCAGUGGCGAAGGCGGCUUACUGGACUGUAACUGACGUUGAGGCUCGAAAGCGUGGGGAGCAAACAGGAUUAGAUACCCGGGUAGUC
This 440-nucleotide ribosomal RNA is filed under the name uncultured bacterium. RNAcentral describes it as "partial 16S ribosomal RNA". It matches the Rfam family "Bacterial small subunit ribosomal RNA", at positions 338 to 795 of the family's 1533-position model. The record is from RNAcentral.